AAUAAAGUGCCUGACUAAAGGAUUAUUCUGAUAGAAUAAAUAAAGUAAUUUUUUACCUUUAUUA
This 64-nucleotide transfer RNA is filed under the name Abisara fylloides. Its description in RNAcentral is "tRNA-Ile". Lineage: Eukaryota; Metazoa; Arthropoda; Insecta; Lepidoptera; Riodinidae. The record is from RNAcentral.